This 496-nucleotide ribosomal RNA is filed under the name uncultured bacterium. RNAcentral describes it as "partial 16S ribosomal RNA". It matches the Rfam family "Bacterial small subunit ribosomal RNA", at positions 28 to 506 of the family's 1533-position model. The record is from RNAcentral.
GAUGAACGCUGGCGGCGUGCCUAAUACAUGCAAGUCGAGCGAACAGACGAGGAGCUUGCUCCUUUGACGUUAGCGGCGGACGGGUGAGUAACACGUGGGUAACCUACCUAUAAGACUGGGAUAACUUCGGGAAACCGGAGCUAAUACCGGAUAAUAUUUCGAACCGCAUGGUUCGAUAGUGAAAGAUGGCUUUGCUAUCACUUAUAGAUGGACCUGCGCCGUAUUAGCUGGUUGGUAAGGUAACGGCUUACCAAGGCAACGAUACGUAGCCGACCUGAGAGGGUGAUCGGCCACACUGGAAUUGGGCCACGGUCCAGACUCCUACGGAAGGCAGCGGGAGGGAAUCUUCCGCAAGGGGCGAAAGCCUGACGGAGCAACGCCGCGUGGGUGAUGAAGGUCUUCGGUUCGUAAAACUCUGUUAUUAGGGAAGAACAAACGUGUAAGUAACCGUGCACGUCUGGACGGUACCUAAGCAGAAGGCCACGGCAAACUACGG